GAGUUUGAUCUUGGCUCAGGAUGAACGCCGGCGGUGUGCCUAAUACAUGCAAGUCGUACGCACUGGCCCAACUGGUUGAUGGUGCUUGCACCUGAUCGACGAUGGAUCACCAGUGAGUGGGCGGACGGGUGAGUAACACGUAGGUAACCUGCCCUGUACAGGGGAUAACAAUCAGAAAUGACUGCUAAUACCGCAUAAGACCACAGCACCGCAUGGUGCAGGGGUAAAAACUCCGGUGGUACAGGAUGGACCCGCGUCUGAUUAGCUGGUUGGUGAGGUAACGGCUCACCAAGGCGACGAUCAGUAGCCGGCUUGAGAGAGUGAACGGCCACAUUGGGACUGAGACACGGCCCAAACUCCUACGGGAGGCAGCAGUGGGGAAUAUUGCACAAUGGGGAAAACCCUGAUGCAGCAAACGCCGCGUGAGUGAAGAAGUAUUUCGGUAUGUAAAGCUCUAUCAGCAGGGAAGAAAAGUGAGGUACCUGACUAAGAAG
This 494-nucleotide ribosomal RNA is filed under the name uncultured microorganism. RNAcentral's name for it is "bacterial SSU rRNA". It matches the Rfam family "Bacterial small subunit ribosomal RNA", at positions 9 to 490 of the family's 1533-position model. The record is from RNAcentral.